Molecule: ribosomal RNA, 909 nt
Filed under: Candelariella reflexa
Lineage: Eukaryota; Fungi; Ascomycota; Candelariomycetes; Candelariales; Candelariaceae
Description: SSU rRNA
Rfam family: Bacterial small subunit ribosomal RNA
Source: RNAcentral
AAUAGCCUAAUGGCUGAACCAGCAAUUUGGGGGAAUGUAUAGUGCAAGCUAGUUGUAUUAACCAUUAAUACAAUAUCGAUUAUGUCGGAUAAAGUUCUAGAUAGAAUAAUGACAAUGACAAUUUUCUAUCUAUAUGUCUUGGCUAAAUCUCGUGCCAGCAGCCGCGGUAAUACGAGGAAGACUAGUGUUAUUCAUCUUUAAUAGGUUUAAAGGGUACCUAGACGGUAUUUUUAGCCCAAAACAGGGUACGGAUUUACUAGAGUUUUAUGUGAGAAAGGGAGUACUUAUGGAGUAGAGAUGAAAUUCUUUUAUACUAUGAGGUAACUGGUAGAGGCGAAAGCAACCUUCUAUGUAGAAACUGACGUUGAGGGACGAAGGCCUGGGUAGCAAAUAGGAUUAGAUACCCUAGUAGUCCAGGCAGAAAAUUAUGAAUGCCAUAGACUAGAGAUUAAAAACUAGAGACUAAUAACUAGAGACUAGUAAUUAGAGACUAGAUUAAUUUUAGUCUAUAAAUAAAAGUGUAAGCAUUCCACCUCAAGAGUAAUGUGGCAACACAGGAACUGAAAUCAUUAGACCGUUUCUGAAACCAGUAGUGAAGUAUGUUAUUUAAUUCGAUGACCCGCGAAAAACCUUACCACAAUUUGUAUGUUAUUUAUUUAAUACAAGCGCUGCACGGCUGUCUUCAGUUAAUGUCGUGAGAUUUUGGUUAGUUCCAUUAAAUUAACGUAAACCCUUGCUUUAUUUAUUUAUUUUUAUAAAGUAGUUCGCCACUAUAUUGGAUAUGAUAAAAGGGGCUAAGACAAGUCAUCAUGGCCUUAAUAUUGUGGGCUAUAGACGUGCCACAUAUGCCUAUACAAAGAGAUGCAAUAAUGUGAAUUAGAGCUAAUCUCAAAAAGUAGGAUAUAACAU